UCCAUAGCGGAGGAAAAGAAACCAACAGGGAUUGCCCCAGUAACGGCGAGUGAAGCGGCAAGAGCUCAAAUUUGAAAGCUGGCUCCUUCGGGGUCCGCAUUGUAAUUUGCAGAGGAUGCUUCGGGAGCGGUCCCCAUCUAAGUGCCCUGGAACGGGACGUCAUAGAGGGUGAGAAUCCCGUAUGGGAUGGGGUGUCCGCGCCCGUGUGAAGCUCCUUCGACGAGUCGAGUUGUUUGGGAAUGCAGCUCUAAAUGGGUGGUAAAUUUCAUCUAAAGCUAAAUAUUGGCCGGAGACCGAUAGCGCACAAGUAGAGUGAUCGAAAGAUGAAAAGCACUUUGAAAAGAGAGUUAAAAAGCACGUGAAAUUGUUGAAAGGGAAGCGCUUGCGACCAGACUCGCUCGCGGGGUUCAGCCGGCAUUCGUGCCGGUGUAUUUCCCCGCGGGCGGGCCAGCGUCGGUUUGGGCGGUCGGUCAAAGGCCCUCGGAAGGUAACGCCCCUAGGGGCGUCUUAUAGCCGAGGGUGCAAUGCGACCUGCCUAGACCGAGGAACGCGCUUCGGCUCGGACGCUGGCAUAAUGGUCGUAAGCGACCCGUCUU
Molecule: ribosomal RNA, 596 nt
Filed under: Penicillium commune
Lineage: Eukaryota; Fungi; Ascomycota; Eurotiomycetes; Eurotiales; Aspergillaceae
Description: partial 28S ribosomal RNA
Rfam family: Eukaryotic large subunit ribosomal RNA
Source: RNAcentral